UUGAACGCUGGCGGCAUGCCUUACACAUGCAAGUCGAACGGCAGCACGGGAGCAAUCCUGGUGGCGAGUGGCGAACGGGUGAGUAAUAUAUCGGAACGUGCCCAGUAGUGGGGGAUAGCCCGGCGAAAGCCGGAUUAAUACCGCAUACGACCUGUGGGUGAAAGCGGGGGAUCGCAAGACCUCGCGCUAUUGGAGCGGCCGAUAUCAGAUUAGCUUGUUGGCGGGGUAAAAGCCCACCAAGGCGACGAUCUGUAGCUGGUCUGAGAGGACGACCAGCCACACUGGGACUGAGACACGGCCCAGACUCCUACGGGAGGCAGCAGUGGGGAAUUUUGGACAAUGGGCGCAAGCCUGAUCCAGCCAUGCCGCGUGUGGGAAGAAGGCCUUCGGGUUGUAAACCACUUUUGUCAGGGAAGAAACGGUUUGUCCUAAUACGGCGGACUAAUGACGGUACCUGAAGAAUAAGCACCGGCUAACUACGU
This 482-nucleotide ribosomal RNA is filed under the name uncultured bacterium. Its description in RNAcentral is "bacterial SSU rRNA". It matches the Rfam family "Bacterial small subunit ribosomal RNA", at positions 30 to 506 of the family's 1533-position model. The record is from RNAcentral.